This 253-nucleotide ribosomal RNA is filed under the name uncultured bacterium. RNAcentral's name for it is "partial 16S ribosomal RNA". It matches the Rfam family "Bacterial small subunit ribosomal RNA", at positions 524 to 776 of the family's 1533-position model. The record is from RNAcentral.
UACGGAGGAUCCAAGCGUUAUCCGGAAUCAUUGGGUUUAAAGGGUCCGUAGGCGGUUUUGUAAGUCAGUGGUGAAAGCCCAUCGCUCAACGGUGGAACGGCCAUUGAUACUGCAAGACUUGAAUUAUUGGGAAGUAACUAGAAUAUGUAGUGUAGCGGUGAAAUGCUUAGAGAUUACAUGGAAUACCAAUUGCGAAGGCAGGUUACUACCAAUAUAUUGACGCUGAUGGACGAAAGCGUGGGGAGCAAACAGG